Long non-coding RNA from Clupea harengus (Atlantic herring), 496 nucleotides. The record is from Ensembl. NCBI's taxonomy places the organism in Eukaryota, Metazoa, Chordata, Actinopteri, Clupeiformes, Clupeidae.
CCAGGCAGUCAGAGCUGAAGCAUUACCAGCUUUAUUAAUCACUCCAAGCACCAGCACCUGCUUCCACUCAGUCUGGAUUAGGGCCACAUCCCCUACCAUAACAGGCCACAUCCCCUACCAUAACAGGCCACAUCCCCUACCAUAACAGGUCACAUCCCCUACCAUAACAGGCCACAUCCCCUACCAUAACAGGCCACAUCCCCUACCAUAACAGGCCACACCCCCUACCAUAACAGGCCACAUCCCCUACCAUAACAGGUCACAUCCGCACCAUAACAGGCCACAUCCCCUACCAUAACAGGUCACAUUCGCACCAUAACAGGCCACAUCCAUUCCAGAGUCUGAGUGGUGCUGAUGGAAUGGUAACGGAAAAGCUGAUAGAGCGUGAAAGAAAAGUUGAAACCAAAGUUGAAAGAGAAAAAUGCAGGAGGAGGAUAAAAAGCUGGAAGAACAAAGGAGACUUGAAGCUGUGUGUAUGUGUGUGUGUGAGAGAGAG